UUGGGUAGGGGAGCGUUCUGUAAGCCUGUGAAGGUGUGUCGUGAGGCAUGCUGGAGGUAUCAGAAGUGCGAAUGCUGACAUAAGUAACGAUAAAGCGGGUGAAAAGCCCGCUCGCCGGAAGACCAAGGGUUCCUGUCCAACGUUAAUCGGGGCAGGGUGAGUCGACCCCUAAGGCGAGGCCGAAAGGCGUAGUCGAUGGGAAACGGGUUAAUAUUCCCGUACUUGGUGUUACUGCGAAGGGGGGACGGAGAAGGCUAUGUUGGCCGGGCGACGGUUGUCCCGGUUUAAGCGUGUAGGUGUGUGUUCCAGGUAAAUCCGGUUCACUUUAACACUGAGGCGUGACGACGAGGCACUACGGUGCUGAAGCAACAAAUGCCCUGCUUCCAGGAAAAGCCUCUAAGCAUCAGGUAACACGAAAUCGUACCCCAAACCGACACAGGUGGUCAGGUAGAGAAUACCAAGGCGCUUGAGAGAACUCGGGUGAAGGAACUAGGCAAAAUGGUGCCGUAACUUCGGGAGAAGGCACGCUGACACGUAGGUGAAGUGAUUUACUCAUGGAGCUGAAGUCAGUCGAAGAUACCAGCUGGCUGCAACUGUUUAUUAAAAACACAGCACUGUGCAAACACGAAAGUGGACGUAUACGGUGUGACGCCUGCCCGGUGCCGGAAGGUUAAUUGAUGGGGUCAGCGCAAGCGAAGCUCCUGAUCGAAGCCCCGGUAAACGGCGGCCGUAACUAUAACGGUCCUAAGGUAGCGAAAUUCCUUGUCGGGUAAGUUCCGACCUGCACGAAUGGCGUAAUGAUGGCCAGGCUGUCUCCACCCGAGACUCAGUGAAAUUGAACUCGCUGUGAAGAUGCAGUGUACCCGCGGCAAGACGGAAAGACCCCGUGAACCUUUACUAUAGCUUGACACUGAACAUUGAGCCUUGAUGUGUAGGAUAGGUGGGAGGCUUUGAAGUGUGGACGCCAGUCUGCAUGGAGCCGACCUUGAAAUACCACCCUUUAAUGUUUGAUGUUCUAACGUGGACCCGUAAUCCGGGUUGCGGACAGUGUCUGGUGGGUAGUUUGACUGGGGCGGUCUCCUCCUAAAGAGUAACGGAGGAGCACGAAGGUUGGCUAAUCCUGGUCGGACAUCAGGAGGUUAGUGCAAUGGCAUAAGCCAGCUUGACUGCGAGCGUGACGGCGCGAGCAGGUGCGAAAGCAGGUCAUAGUGAUCCGGUGGUUCUGAAUGGAAGGGCCAUCGCUCAACGGAUAAAAGGUACUCCGGGGAUAACAGGCUGAUACCGCCCAAGAGUUCAUAUCGACGGCGGUGUUUGGCACCUCGAUGUCGGCUCAUCACAUCCUGGGGCUGAAGUAGGUCCCAAGGGUAUGGCUGUUCGCCAUUUAAAGUGGUACGCGAGCUGGGUUUAGAACGUCGUGAGACAGUUCGGUCCCUAUCUGCCGUGGGCGCUGGAGAACUGAGGGGGGCUGCUCCUAGUACGAGAGGACCGGAGUGGACGCAUCACUGGUGUUCGGGUUGUCAUGCCAAUGGCACUGCCCGGUAGCUAAAUGCGGAAGAGAUAAGUGCUGAAAGCAUCUAAGCACGAAACUUGCCCCGAGAUGAGUUCUCCCUGAGACUUAGAGUCUCCUGAAGGAACGUUGAAGACGACGACGUUGAUAGGCCGGGUGUGUAAGCGCAGCGAUGCGUUGAGCUAACCGGUACUAAUGAACCGUGAGGCUUAACCUU
This 1724-nucleotide ribosomal RNA is filed under the name Salmonella enterica subsp. enterica serovar 4,[5],12:i:-. RNAcentral's name for it is "bacterial LSU rRNA". It matches the Rfam family "Bacterial large subunit ribosomal RNA", at positions 1224 to 2925 of the family's 2925-position model. Lineage: Bacteria; Pseudomonadati; Pseudomonadota; Gammaproteobacteria; Enterobacterales; Enterobacteriaceae. The record is from RNAcentral.